This is a long non-coding RNA of Crotalus tigris (Tiger rattlesnake), 2863 nucleotides long. RefSeq lists it as uncharacterized. Lineage: Eukaryota; Metazoa; Chordata; Lepidosauria; Squamata; Viperidae. The transcript is spliced from 4 exons. The record is from RefSeq and is a predicted model, not a curated record.
GUCACAAUUGAUUUUAAUUUAUGUUAAAGCAUAAUUUACAAAUCCUCAUGAUUAGAUUCACACGCGCGCGCGCUGUAAACAGUUGGGCUGGAAGUUUCUUCGCUCCUGGCAGUUGUCCCGAUUCGUGUGACUGCAUUGCUUGAAAGCAAAGUUCCGUGAAGGUUUGUCUCAGAGAAUGGGCUGAAAAUUAAAUCCAGUGAGAUGGACACUUGGAAUUAAUCUUUGAAGAUCUAGAAAUGAAGAAGUAAUCUGAAAAACAGCGGAUUGUUCAGUUUCAGACCUGCAUAGCACAGGAAAAUCAAGUUACUACUAUAUUUGCAGGGUCUGACAAACCUUCUGCAGAAAAUAAACUACAAGCAUCUGACACAUGGAGGAAAUUAUCCCCAUUCCAUGCCAACUGUUUAAUAAAACACAACAAGGGACAGUUGCUUUUUUGGCGAUGUGAACAAUUCUAUUAAUAUAUGUAUGGUAUAAAUAUUAUACUGGGAGCAGAUCACAAGCUACAAAGUAACCUCUACAGACAAUUUUGCAGUGAGAUGUUAACAAAUCUCAACAUUUAACAGAAAACGAAUCCAAACGGAGAAAAUGCUUCUAAUAAAUCGAAGCAAAGAGGAGGAGGAAAGAUGCAGCCUGACUCAAAAGUACAGAACAGUUUUUUUUCCUGCUAACUUGGAUCCUAAGGAAGUAGCAAAGGAGAGCCAAAAGCUGAAAGAACUGCAUAGACUUGGACCUGGUCACCUAACCAGUUCUUAAGGACUUUUUGGAAAAUCAAAAGGAAUGGAGCCAACUUAAUUUUGGAAAGAUUACUCCAUAAGGCAGUUGCCACAACAGAGAAAGCAUGUGUCCUGGGAUCCAUCAAUUGUAGAUCCGUAGCUGAAGUUAUCCACAGCACACCUUCUCUGUGAGAUUGAUGCGGCUGGGCUAGUAUAAACGGGAAAAGGCGGUCCCUCAAGUAGCCCAGUUCCAUGCCAUGAAUUUGUGCUUUCUGUUUAAAUGCUCAAUAAACACUAAAUGUAAUAGAUUUUCUGCUGUGGACAGAAAAAAGGCAAGGAAAUGUACACUAUGUCCAAACAAUAAUGGUCAUGCAACAUAUUGUAAUAGUGUAUGUAUACCAACAGCUCCAAAGAGAAAUUAAAGGGCUAUUGCUGAAUAGUUAAGUUUAAAUACUGGGGGCUGUUGCUGAAUAGUUAAGUUUAAAUACUGGGUUUAUCUUGAAGUUUGGUGGAGCAAGAGCCAUAUUGAAAUUUACUCUGCCAAGCACAGAAAACUCUCCAGUUCUGCUCAUUCACCACUGCAGCUUUUUUUCACUCUCACUUGUGCAUAUUUCUCCAGAUGUCUCCCUGCUUUCUUCAGUGGCACUAAUAUUUCUGUGGCAUUUUUCUUGUUAGCUCAUCCCGAUUGCACCAAACGCAUAAGCAGGAUUUUGUACUUACAUUUCUACCAAUAUUGAAAAACAGAUAAAACUCUGAGCAGCAUUCAUUCAGCCAUUCAGUUUGCUUUGCUUCUCCUUUGUGAGGCCCUGCCUCAUAAUGGUGCUGACAGGGGCAUGAGCUCACAAAGGAGAAGUAAAUAAAACUUUUUGGUGGGCUGAGUGAAAACUAUUCAUUCAAGAGUUUUAUCUUGUGUGGGUGCUUACUUAGUUAGCUUCAUUUGAUUUUAUUUGGUUGUUUAUAUUUUCUUGUGUUUUUAUCUGUAUUUAUGUAGCUUAGGUUUAGUUUAUUUUACAGUAUUUAUUUAUUCAUUUAUUUACUCAAUAUAUCUAUUUACACAUACUAUUUAUUUGUUUAUUUCUUUAUCAUGUUUCAUAUAUUUGUUGAAUUAGUUUAGUUAGGAUUAGUUUAAUUUAGCUUAGUUUCGCACAUUUCAUUCAUAAUGGAGACAUUCCUAUAAUACGCAGAGAAACUCCUGUUUGAGGUAAGACAUCUUUAUUUAUUCAUUUAUUUACUCAAUAUAUCUAUUUACACAUACUAUUUAUUUGUUUAUUUCCUUAUCAUAUUUCAUAUAUUUGUUGAAUUAGUUUAGUUAGGAUUAGUUUAGCUUAGCUUAGUUUCGCACAUUCCAUUCAUAAUGGAGACAUUCCUGUACUAUGCAGGGAAACUCCUGUUUGAGAUAAGACAUCUUUGGUUUUAUUUAUUUGCUUGUCAAUUUGCAUGUCUGACUAGGAUUUAGGAUUCAAAGAGGUAAUAUGACAGAUAACAUGAUAUAAGUAAUGAUAAUGAUGAAAUAAAACAGGAAUAUUUUGGUUCAAAAGUUAUUCUAAUCUAAAAAUUAUUUUAAAAUGUUUUUUGCUUGUUCCUAGAUUCUUUUAUCUAGGAACAAGCAAAAACAUUUUAGAAUAAUUUUUAGAAUAACUUUUGAACCAAAAUAUUUUAAAAAUAUUGCACAUCUUCUUUCAGGCACUUUCUUCGUGAACUGUGUUAAUAUCUUCAGUUUAAACGCAUUCUCAGGAUAGCCUUCCAAAAAGGCAGGGAAACGUGGUUCUGUGGCUUUGCUUGGGGUGCAGAGAAAAGCACAGUCGUGGGGCUGGCUAGAACCCUCAAAUCCCUAAUUCCUAAUUAAGUCAGGAGAAUCAGAGUCACCUUCCUCUAAACUAGAGAUAAGAACAUCCUAGCCUCUGACCAUGUUGUCAUCAACACUAUCUUGGAGGCAGUGUCAAUUGUUCCUACAGCAAGGUUUAACAUGGAAGAAGAGGGCCAUUAUAGCAUCACUUUAACAGCAGAGCAGCUAAAGGGCAACUUCAGCUGUCCCUGCAGCUGGCUAGAGGCAAAAUUCAGAUGAUGUCAUGAGGUUUGUUGCUUAACAAUGGUUAACAGUGGUCAGUGAGAGUCUUCAUGCUAUUUUUAAUAAAUAUGGAUACAAUUUG